UACGGGAGGCAGCAGUGGGGAAUUUUGGACAAUGGGGGCAACCCUGAUCCAGCCAUUCCGCGUGAGUGAAGAAGGCCUUCGGGUUGUAAAGCUCUUUCGGCAGGAACGAAACGGCGAGCUCUAACAUAGCUCGCUAAUGACGGUACCUGAAGAAGAAGCACCGGCUAACUACGUGCCAGCAGCCGCGGUAAU
This 192-nucleotide ribosomal RNA is filed under the name uncultured Methyloversatilis sp. RNAcentral's name for it is "partial 16S ribosomal RNA". It matches the Rfam family "Bacterial small subunit ribosomal RNA", at positions 340 to 524 of the family's 1533-position model. Lineage: Bacteria; Pseudomonadati; Pseudomonadota; Betaproteobacteria; Nitrosomonadales; Sterolibacteriaceae. The record is from RNAcentral.